CUACGAGGGGUGCAAGCGUUAAUCGGAAUUACUGGGCGUAAAGCGUUCGUAGGCGGUUUGUUAAGCAAGAUGUGAAAGCCCAGGGCUCAACCUUGGAACUGCAUUUUGAACUGGCAGACUAGAGUACUGUAGAGGGUGGUGGAAUUUCCAGUGUAGCGGUGAAAUGCGUAGAGAUUGGAAGGAACAUCAGUGGCGAAGGCGGCCACCUGGACAGAUACUGACGCUGAGGAACGAAAGCGUGGGGAGCAAACAGGAUUAGAUACCCUAGUAGUCC
This 274-nucleotide ribosomal RNA is filed under the name uncultured bacterium. Its description in RNAcentral is "partial 16S ribosomal RNA". It matches the Rfam family "Bacterial small subunit ribosomal RNA", at positions 523 to 796 of the family's 1533-position model. The record is from RNAcentral.